This 406-nucleotide ribosomal RNA is filed under the name uncultured bacterium. Its description in RNAcentral is "partial 16S ribosomal RNA". It matches the Rfam family "Bacterial small subunit ribosomal RNA", at positions 30 to 526 of the family's 1533-position model. The record is from RNAcentral.
AUUGAACGCUGGCGGCAGGCCUAACACAUGCAAGUCGAACGAGUGGCGGACGGGUGAGUAAUGUCUGGGAAACUGCCUGAUGGAGGGGGAUAACUACUGUAAACGGUUGCUACUACCGCAUACCAUCAGAUGUUCCCAGAUGGGAUUAGCUAGGUGGUGGGGUAACGGCUAACCAAGGCGACGAUCCCUAGCUGGUCCGAGAGGCGGACCAGCCAAACUGGAACUGAGACACGGUCCAGACUCCUACGCGAGGCAGCAGUGGGGAAUAUUGCACAAUGGGCGCAAGCCGGAUGCAGCCAUGCCGCGUGUAUGAAGAAGGCCUUCGGGUUGUAAAGUACUUUCAGCGGGGAGGCGUUACCCGCAGAAGAAGCACCGGCUAACUCCGUGCCAGCAGCCGCGGUAAUUC